Non-coding RNA from Caretta caretta (loggerhead turtle), 4969 nucleotides. NCBI's taxonomy places the organism in Eukaryota, Metazoa, Chordata, Testudines, Cheloniidae. The record is from RefSeq and is a predicted model, not a curated record.
GAGGAGUGGGAAAUAAUCAGACUGGGGAAAGCCGAGAAGAACGAGGAAGGAAGGAGCAGCCGCCAGAAACGAGCCACGGUCCCCUCACCCCAACUCUCAAGGAAAAAGAGCCCCCGAUUGCCAACUGCAAAUUCCAGCAAGGCGCUCGUGCUGCGGGUAGAUCAUGGGGAGAAGUGUCUCUCUGGGCAGCUGCCCCCCAGACAGGGUCCUCUCCGCGCACAGACACUGCUGCAAAAAGCCAAUUGAUUAGUUUACGCAGAGCCGUAGGUAGCCGCUCUCCAUCACACCUGGAUGUCCCAACGUGAAAGCUCGGGAAGCCCCAGCCUGGGUGACUUGAACAAGGUGGCUCCUCUCCCCUCGCAUUUCUUCGCUCUCUUUGAUCCCUUUGCACCACGAGCGGCCCCCCCCCUUUUUUUUUUUAUUGUUGUGCUGCAACUCAAGCUUUCAAUCUUCCCCAGGAUCCAACAACCUCCUGCUCGCUUCCAGCUUUAAAAGGAGGCAAAGCAAAUCGCUGGGAAGAGACCCGGAAUCACUUGGGUAACAACGGCACAUUUUGCAUUCUGUCACCGAGCAAGGCAUCAAAAGCGAAGAGGAGGAUUUAACUCCUUAACGGCCGCAAGAUUUUUCGGUCUGGCUUUGGGCUUGUGUGUGUGUGUGCUCGAGAAGAAAAUCAUGCCCGAUGCUGACUGGAUCCGGGAAGAGAAUACAACUCAGCUGACAUCUUUACACGACAGAGGCAGCAAGAAGAAGAAGACAACCUAGGUGCUUAUUUCAAGCUUUUCUUCUUACUGUGCCAGAAUAUGGAAUGUAACCAGCUCCAUCUUUAUGCUUUCUCUUCUUUAUUUGCCAAGAACCACACCCUGCCUGGAAUUCUAAACAGCGCACAGAGACAUCUAGUGACGGGAUACUAAAGCUUAUGCUCAAAUAAAUUGGUCAGUCUCUAAGUUGCCACGCUCCUUUUCUUUUUGCGAAUACAGACUAAUACUGCUGCUACUCUGAAACCUUUAAUGGGCUACUCAUCCCUUGCUUCUGCCCUUCCCCCUCUUCCAAUGGAACCAAGCACUAACGGGGGAAAAGUCAGGUUCCAAAAAGCUCUACAACAGAGGAAUGCUCUCUAAUUAUCAGACCCUCAUCAAACAGAAGUGAUGUCCGUCAGAAGAGAGCAACAGGUCAGAAUCAGAAUGUUCUGUGGCAAAAUCUCACUCUGUAGAUGGGAAGGAGAAAAGAGAGACCAGCAGGUAGCGGGGCUGGAUAUCACACUGCCAGACAUUUGCAUGGAUUUGAAGACCAUGCUGUCUGUUAAAGCUGAUGGAGCCCAAGGAGUUACAGAGGUUUAAUGCGCAACAUACGGAAGAUGAUGGGUGCCAGAGAGAGAAAGAGAUGAAGCUGCAGUGUCUCCCAUAAUUACACCUGUGUAUACCAGGUACUGUAAACUAGAGCAGAAUUUGUCCCAUUCAAUUAAAUUAGAGAUCAUGAUAUUAUGCCCUCCAUAUACACUUGUAUCUUGGAUUAAAUUCAAGUUGAUUGAAUAAAAGGAGAAUGAGAUAAAAUGUAAUGUAUAGGUGGGCACUGGCCUGAUCUCUUUGGUUCAGGACCAAAGUAUUACUGUUCAUAUUGAAGAAACACCAUAGUGAGCAUGAUGGUGCUGAUGAUUGAUUUAAUGAUACUGGAGGUAUCAUCUUUCAGAGGAUAUAUAUAAAAAAAGUCCUCGACUUCUUUGGUCAUUGAGGAUUCUAUGACAAAGGCUGUUAGCCCCAGUCUCCUGACUGGAUUACGUCUCAGAAAAUUAGAGUUACUAUUCUCAUUAAUAGAUUGCAAGGCCAGAAGGGACCACUGUGAUCAUCUAGUCAGACUCCUGUAUAAUGAAGGCCACAGAACUUCCCCAAAGUAAUUCCUAGAGCUUAGAAAAAAAUUCAAUCUUAAUUUAAAUAUUACAGUAAAGGAGAAUCCCCACCAUGACCCGGGGUAAAUUGUUCCAAUAGCUAAUUACCCUCACUUAAAAAUUUAUGCCUUAUUUCCUGUCUGAAUUUGUCGAGCUUCAGUUUUCAGCCAUUCCAUUCCAGCUGGAUUGAAAAGCCCAUUAUCAAAUUGAAGAGUUCAUUGUAGUUACUAUCCUUCUACUCCUAAAAACUCUGCGUGCCAUUUCUGCACACAAUGGCAAUGUAUUUUAUCAGUGGGUGAAGAGAAUCCUGUAUGUACAAUCAUUGGGAUCAAAAGUAUUUAAUAAAUAAGAAAUUAUUAUAAAUAUAGUUUAACUUUUCUAGGCUAAAUUCCAUGAUCCAUGUAUGGCCUUCCUCCUCUUUAAUUUUAUCUGGCUCCAAUCUUUACUGCAGAUGAGGAAGAGAGAAGCAGCUAUGUUAUGGGCUAUGGAGUAGAUGCUGAGGCUAUGCUAAGGGAGAGGAAAACAUCUGUAUCUCUUCAGGUGGGCACUACCACAGCAUAGGGUAUUUACCAGAGUCUGUGUCAGAGUGCAGUGCAGUAAUCCUCAGCUAGUGGAUGGUUCCUUUGGGACUGUAGCUAGUGGUUGUAGGUUAGAAGUUAGGUUCCUUGAAUGCCAUGGUUGGAGCUCAGGUAGAAUUAGGCAGAGAAGCAGGGAGCCAUAACUGGCUCUUCUUAGGCUCUCCUCUGUUGGCUGAGCAGAUCUCUGUCACCUCAGAGAAUCGGGCCCCUUCUUUACUCUGGAUGAAGUCCAGGUCCCAUUGGGUAUGUCUACACUGCACUACUCUGAUUCAGGUUUCAGCCCAAGCCCCCUUCCAUCCACACACAAAUCAGUCUGACUCGGAUCAACAAGCACUUAUGACCUAGGACCCUGCUAGGGACAUGGGUCAGAGCCCGAGUCCUGCUCUGACUUGGGUCUAAGCUCUGCCAUUUUUCAGUGUGGAUGUAGAUCAAAUCGCAGACCUGACUCAAAAAGCCUGCAGUAUGGAAGCAUGAGCAUGGCCAGACCUAGGUCUGGUAAUGGAAAAUUGUGGUUUACAAUGCAGUGUGGAUACUCAAGCAUGGGCUUGGAAACACCAAGUCCACAAGCUCAUAUCCCAAAGAUCUGGGCUGACCAUAGAGUAUAGACCUACCCAUUGAAGACAAUGGUAAAAUUCAUAAUGACUUCAAUGGAUUCAUGGUUUUACCUUCAGGCUGUUGUGGUAUGUGUACACUGCAUUGUAAACCCAGGACUGUGAGAACUGGGCUUGUGGUCUCAGUGUUUCUAAGAGAUUUUUGGUAUGAAAAGAAGCACACAUUACAUUAUCUGCAGCACAUAUUGUGUGGCAUAACACACACAUAAUUGAGUUCUGGGCAUCAUUAGCUUAAUGAAAACUGUGAUUAUUGGCUCAAACCUACAGGCCAUUGUUGUAUAUGGCGAGGGGUGGAGGGGCCCGCAGUGGAGGGGGAGCAGAUGACAUAAGACAGAAAAUAGUUCUCUAGUUAAAAAUUAGUUGCCUAGGCUAAAAAUAUGAUCAAAUGAGGUCUACAGUAUUUUAUAAAGAGCUAAGAGAUAGCAGCACUUAAAGCAGUGCAAAAUUUGCAUAUUGUUAAUUUCUAUUCAUGUUUUUACAUGCACUUGCUUUCUGUAUGCUUGUCAGUCCAAUGCACUGGUACAAUCCUCACAUUUUCAGAUCUAGGCUCUCGUCAAACUACAGCUGAAAGCGUACUAAAGACAACUGUGUUUAACCAUGGUUGUUGCUAGCCAUACUUUGAUGAUAAAUCUGGGCGAGCCACAGCAGUGUAACUAUAGUGGGGACAGAGCCUUACACUAUAUCUUCUUUCUACAUUUAAAAAUAAAAUUGAAAGAUUAUUUUUUCUCCAAGUCAGAUUCAAGGAUUAAAUAUUCCUUUAGCUGAAGCCGUAAUGUCGGGAGACCCAUUUUCAGUACUCUCUCUCUCUCUCCCACUCAGAUGCUGGCAGCAGAGGCCAGUAGCACUAUUAUAGAUGCUCUGCUCCAUUGCACUGAGAGGGGAAGGAGAGCAUCACAUCACUCUGCAACUUCACCUACAGGCUGUUUGAAGAACAAACAGCGAAUUAGAAGACCGAAGAAGUCCUUUAACCUUCUGACCCCUGCACAGCUCUGUUAGCUAGUAGUUUUUUUAUGCAUAGUGGUCAAUGCUAAAUCCCAGAUUAGAAUUUGGAUAUUACCUAUUUAAGGGCUUGAUCCUGCAGUUUGUACUCAUGUGAGUAAUCCUACAUGCAUGAGAAGUCUCACUGACUCACAUGCAUAGGAAUUACUCAUGUGAGUAAGAGUUGGGGUCUUAAUGGAAUCUAUUCUCCCUCCAGUGCAUGCAUUUAAGUCUCAUUUGUGCUCAUGGGAGCUAUGCAUAUUCAACAAGGGGAGAAUAGAUUCCCUUAAUCUGAUGAAAUGCAAGGAAUUUGAUUGUCAUGUUUGAUUUAAUGAUACGUUGUUGAGGGUAGAAUGGGCUGUAAUGUUCAAAUUAUUCUAUGGAUUUAGCCCUUUUGUCUGUGUGAAUUUUCCAGGAACAGAUCAUAUUUUUUACAUAUUUGUUCUUGGUUCCAAAGUUGAUUGCUGAAUUUUUAUACAAACAAAUUUCAGCCUGGCAGCUGUUUGUGAACUUGUGCUAUGACUGCUUCUUUGAGAAUUCUGUGUCCCAAAUAAGAAGAACUGUUGUGGUAGAUGUCUCAGCCUAUAUACUAUAGAAUUUCAUGGACCCAAGUCAUCACUGCAUUACUCCAGUUUUAUGUCAUAGUAAGUUCACUGAAUGGAGUUACAAGUGUAAAACUGGAGUAAUGUUGUGAUGGAUCAGGCCCAGUGUCCAUUGGUGUGGUGACUGUCUUUCCCACAUACAAUAAUAUACUGUAUCUACCAUGCACAUUCAUUGAAUUUGCCAGUCUACAUUUCCUGAAAGAAGCCCUUUAAUGAACACUUGAAGUUCAGUGGGUUUCAUGCGAAUAUUUGUUACGUGUUGGAAUAUCUACCUGUUGGAAAAGUGUAGAAUAUUACACAAUAAAUAUAAGAAAACUG